UUUACUUCUUUACGGCCUGGUCAUUGGUCACAAUUCAUAGUCUAUUCUAUAGUUCGUUUUCCGAUACCUAACCUAACGACUAAAGUCUCCCUCCUUGACCUCACUGUUGCUUCCCCGAACCUGCAGCUUAUUCCUAUCUCCGGCGACUAUCAUCCUCCCCGGAAUUUAUUAGAGGAGAUGUGUCAUCAGAAUUGUUGCGUGCAUUUAUCUGUAGAAGAAGCAAUUGCAGCUGAUGAAAGUCUCUUAAUUUAUUGCAAGCCUGUUGAACUUUAUAAUAUUCUUCAUCGCCGUGCUCAAUACAAUCCUUCGUUUCUUCGAAGAUGUUUGCGUUA
This is a non-coding RNA of Jatropha curcas, 332 nucleotides long. Lineage: Eukaryota; Viridiplantae; Streptophyta; Magnoliopsida; Malpighiales; Euphorbiaceae. The record is from RefSeq and is a predicted model, not a curated record.